AGGUGCUUGCAGAUCAUAAGUUGCUUCUGCGGCCGCCUCCUUUCCAGUGCUAACAAGAUGUUCCAUUCAGUGUCUGUCUGUUCUUCCGAGUGCUAUGGGAAACUCCAAUAUAUGUUCUUUCAAUUUAUUUUAUUCCUUUUCGGUUUCGCCAUCUUCAUAAACGAUGUGUUCGAAUUGUCUGGCAAGUUCCAGUGAUAUUCCAGUCUGUUUUUGUCAUCUCUUCCCCUCCCCUGUGUUUUGUUCCUUAAGUGAGAUCGGUUCCAAUGCUCCAAGUAGUUGAACUAUGGCAAUGUUCUAAGAAAGAAUGCUGUCAUGUGUGUAUACUGAAAGUUCAGAUUUAUAAUUUUUGUGUAUGGUAACAGUAUUGUCUGAUGAUUGUUCCCCAAUUUGUUCCCUGAUGAUCAGUAACAAAUAUUAUCACAAUGUAACUUUGGUCCAUGUGCAAAAGUGGAGGUUUUAAGGAAUCAAGACACAUGGAUUGCUUGAGCAUCAAGUCUGUUACAUUGAUGACAGUCCUUUUUGUGCUUAUCUGUAGAUAUCUGAAUAUGCCCAUCUUUUGCAGGAGACAGAUCAUCCUACUGAGGAUCAUGGAGCUCAGAUGAUAAAACUUACUGAAGAUCACCAUAUUCUGUGCAAUUUGGUUGGUACUACCAUUUUUAUAGAUCUCCCAAAAUGAUCAUCUUGUGACUUCCUUUCUGUGGUUUCUUGGUGCUCUCUUGCAGUACUUUUCUUAUUUCUUGUAGUCAUCUGCAUUGUGUGGCUAGCCAGUAAGGUGGGUGCAGCUCUACUUUUUAUUUUCCCUAAGUGAGGAGGUUGCAUUGACAUCGCCACAUCGGCUAUGAUGAUCAAUAGAAUUAAGCAGCCUUUCCGCUUGCUGGACCACUUCAGCUGUGUUUUGAGAUAUUAAAUAGCGUAUUAUCCCGAAUCAUACACAGUACAUUCAAAUCAGAGAGCCUGAUUUUUCUCUCUCUCUUUCUGAUAAGGACACCACUUUAUAUCUUCUUUUCCUGUUUGCAUUUUGUAAUUAUCCUUAUUGCAUUUAAUUCACUUGAUGCUUCCAUUCCAACAGAAAUUUUAGGUUCAUCAAUCGCUUUAUACACGUUUUUUUAAACGUCAGUCAAAAUCAUGGGCCUCUGAAAUGGGCUGAGUACUAUUAAACCAGGCUAGACAUGAAUUAACUAUGCUGUAGGUUGGCAUUUGGUUUUCAUUGGUUUGUUUAUAUGGAUAUUGUAAAGAUACUCCUUUGGGGUUUGUUGUAUCUCUCUCUACUCUGUGUGCAUAGAUAGACUUGAGUGGAACAUUGUGUGGUUAACAUAGAUUGGGCUGCAAAGCUUCCUUCUUUUUGGUUACCUUGUUUCAUCUGUCUGGAUCAACCUCAAACUUAUCAAUUCAGUCUUUUAAAUUGCAAUAGAGGCUUCAUAACCAGAUUUAUUUAACGUGCACUGAGACCAUUCCAUAUGGACAGUUUUUGGUGGCUAAAUGACUUGCUGACGAUUCGCUUCUUUUGGACACAGUGUGCUGUUUGCUAGUUCCUGUCGAUACAUUUGGGGAUUUAUUGUAGCUACAAUUUGGUUAGUUUCAAAUAUAUUUGAAGCUUUAUAAAAGCUUGCAUUUGUAGUGAAUGCAGACAGAGUAUAUGGCCUCCCUGAAUGGUGAAUAUGGCUCUGCUUGACUUUGCAUGUGUGUGUAAUGAAUCAUUAUUUCAUUGCAAGCAUAUGACAUUCGGAAAAAAAAUGUGAUUCGCUCUGCCACAGAUUGCAGUGUGUUUUACAUCCUGGGAAUGCAUGGUUUUAUGCUCUGGCUUCGCCCUGUUUUGCAUCAUGACGUCUAUAAGCACCUGUUUUACUAGAUGAAGUGAAUCAAUUCUUCAUUUGGAGGACACUGAGCAAGACACAUAAUUGCAACCACAAUUCGUGUUCAAAAUGGUGCGCAUAAACAGGUAAAGGCAACUGGCAAAGACAGAGUUAUAGUCUCUGCUGGUACUGAUGUCCUUCUUUCGACUAUUUGGAAAACAAAAAUAAUUCAUUCCCUGCAGAUCCCACUAAUGUUAUGUUUUCUUGGUGCUCUCUGCUGGACUCAUGGUCUGCUGUAGAAUGAGUGGAAAGUGCUUUGCUCUAAACUUAUGGUUCCAUUUUCUUAGUUACCACACAGGCCAUGAGAAGUUAUCAUUUUUUUCCUGACAUUAGUAUUUGCACAUUUUUGUGGUAGUACGAAGGUUAUCUCUAGGGACUACGAUAAACCAUCUACUGUAUAACCGAUGAAACGCACAUUAGUGUAUUCUUAUUGUUUACAUGCCUCAAUCAACACUUAAUUCUGCUGAUUUUGUUCUUGCUACAGAUAAAAUUUUAGUUAAUGAGUUCUGCCAUAGAUAUGCAACCUGUUUGCUCUUUGUAGUUGUUCAAGUAAGAAAUAUAAUGCCCCGGCCAAGCAACAGAUUGUUCCUUCAGUUUUCUUUUGAUACUGAGUAUUAGCACAAGAUGUGAUUGUUAUAAGUCGUCUAAUCAUUGUUCCUGUAACCUCGUAACUUUGCAGAUAUGCCGAGCACUUGCUUAUAUACAUAAUUGUGUUGUCAUCUGCCACCAUGAUAUCAAACCACAGAACAUUCUAGUGAGAUUUUUAACCUCCUUUUCUAUGCUUAAUAUGCUGUGCUGUUGUGUUUUACAUAUCUUCCAUCAAAUCCUGCAGAAUUGUUUGGCUAGUUGGGCUUUCUUUACAUCUGGAAGAACAUUUACUAAUCAAAUUUGAAUAACCACUACUCCAAGGAGUAAUACAUUUUUGCUAACCUAGUAAGCUUUCCACUGUAGGUUAACCCACAUAACACGAGCUCAAAAUCUAAAUCUGUGAUUUUGGCAGUGCAAAAGUCUUGGUAAGUUAUCUUCUAUAAUAAGGUAGAAAUUUAAAUGUUUGAGUACUGCUGAUUUCGAAAAGAACAUGCUAAAAUUUCUUGAUAAGAACAAAAAAAAGGGUGUGCACUUAUGCCAGUAACCUACCCAGAAAUGAUGAUUUCUAAAUUGUUUUCAAAGUAAUGCUUUGCAUAUAUCUCCUACAUUUACUCAAGAUAUUACCGAGCACCAGAACUAUAUUUGGUGCAACUGAAUGUACUACUGCCAUUAUUUUGUUGUGGUUUUGUUCACUGCAGACUGAAUAUCUGCUCUGUCAUGGCAGAACUGCUUCCCCCAUAGAUUUUUUCAUUCAUGCAUAUAGUCUUUUACUCCCUGCGUCUCAAAAUAAGUGUUGCUGAUUUAGUAGAACAUUAGUACAAAGUUGUACUAAAUCAACGACAUUUAUUUUGGGAUGGAAGGAGUAUUUUACUCUCUAGCUUGUUCUCAUAGUAUUCAUCCAUCCAUGCAGCCUCUUUUUCCUGGGGGGAAGUGGAGUUGAUCAACCGGUUGUGAUUACCAAGGUGAAAUCUUGCAGUAUGACAUUUGGUAACUGUUUUCUCCUGCGACCUGCAUUCUUUACAAUGAUAUGUUCGGUCAUAAUGCGUCGCAGGUCUUGGGGUACUCUAACCAGGGAAGAGAUCAAGUGCAUGAAUCCAACCCACACGGAGUUCAAGUUCCCACAGAUUAAGGCUCGCCCGUGUCACAAGGUAAUGUGUGCAUAUUUUACCUGUCAUGCAAAAUUGCCCGGUCUGCACAAUUGCUGUUCUAGUUGGCGUGUACUUUCGGGACAGGGAGAGUUUUAACAUUGGCACCAAAAUAAGCAUUCCUCAGAUACUUAACAAAAAAGAAAAUAAAUUACAACGGACAAAAAUGGAAAGCUGAUGCAAUGAGAAAAAAGGGCCAGGCGAGAAAGAUGUUUCUCAGAUGGGCCGGGCUCUGCCUGUGUUUCCAGCAGGCAGCAGCCCAACCUCACGGGCCAGCGCCCAAAAAGCUCCCACCGAGGGGGAGCUGCGUGGCUGCACUCCUAACAUUAGUCCCACCUCGCCAGUUUAAGGGGAGCGGAACCAGCUUAUAAGCCGAGGCGCGGCAGGAGGUAGCACGACCUUACUUGAACAGGAUCUGUUCUAUAGGCUCGUACCGUUGCAUCCUUUACCAAUAAGGAGGCAAGCACUUCAGUCUGGUUGAUGUAUUCUGACCUCUGGGCCAGAGCGUGAUUAACGGUCAGGAUUACCCUGAUGGGGCAAUCUGAUGGCUGUAGAGGAUCGUUCCUGCCUGGCUCUCACGCCUGUGCAGGGUGGCCCAGAGGUUGUCUGACAGACUACAACAUCUUUUUUUGCCUUGUGCUCGUUUUUUAAGUCUCUUUUUCAGUCACUCAUUCUACAUUCAGUAUGUAUUUCUAUUUGCAAUCACACAUCUCAAAUUAUCUUUUUGCAAUCACUCAUUCUACAUUCUCCCCCCGUUCACUUUUAUAGAUAAAGAAGACCAAAAAUGAAGAAUAAUAAGAAUACUGAUGAUAACUAAGGUAAUGAACAAAGAGAGAACAAUGAAUUAAGGAAAAAAAAGUGAUGUGGCUAAAAAAGGAGAGUGAAAUCUGAACAAAAGACUGGACUAAACAGUUACCAGCUUUAUGCACAUAUGCUAACUCCAUUUUAUCAAGAAUUUUCGUAAAGUAUGACAUGUUUUUUUUGGUGGUUGGUUCGCUUCUUUUGGACACAAUGUGCUGUUUGUUAGUCCCUGUCCAUUCAUUUGUGGAUUUAUUGUAGCUACAAUUUCGUCAGUUGCAAAUAUAUUUGAAGCUUUAUAAAAGCUUGCAUUUGUAGUGAAUGCAGACAGGGUAUAUGCCCUCCCUGAAUAGUGAAUAUGGCUCUGCUUGAUUUUGCGUGUGUGUGUAAUGAAUCAUUAUUUCGUUGCAAGCAUAUGUGCUUCGCAAAAAGAAAGUAUGCGACUCACUCUGCCGCAGAUUUGCAGUGUAUUUUAUGCUCUGGCUUCGCCCUGUUUGACAUCAUGACGUCUAUAAGCACCCUGUUUUACUAGAUGAAGUGACUCAAUUCUUCAUUUGCAGGAGACCGAGCCAGAUGUGGUUGCAGAUUCUGGUGCUGAAUAUGGUCACAUAUUUGCAAGCACAAUCCGUGGCCAAAAUGGUCUGCCUAAACAGGUAAAGGCAACUGGCAAAGACAGGUUGUCUGACAGACUACAACAUCUUUUUUUGCCUUGUGCUCGUUUUUUAAGUCUCUUUUUCAGUCACUCAUUCUACAUUCAGUAUGUAUUUCUAUUUGCAAUCACACAUCUCAAAUUAUCUUUUUGCAAUCACUCAUUCUACAUUCUCCCCCCGUUCACUUUUAUAGAUAAAGAAGACCAAAAAUGAAGAAUAAUAAGAAUACUGAUGAUAACUAAGGUAAUGAACAAAGAGAGAACAAUGAAUUAAGGAAAAAAAAGUGAUGUGGCUAAAAAAGGAGAGUGAAAUCUGAACAAAAGACUGGACUAAACAGUUACCAGCUUUAUGCACAUAUGCUAACUCCAUUUUAUCAAGAAUUUUCGUAAAGUAUGACAUGUUUUUUUUGGUGGUUGGUUCGCUUCUUUUGGACACAAUGUGCUGUUUGUUAGUCCCUGUCCAUUCAUUUGUGGAUUUAUUGUAGCUACAAUUUCGUCAGUUGCAAAUAUAUUUGAAGCUUUAUAAAAGCUUGCAUUUGUAGUGAAUGCAGACAGGGUAUAUGCCCUCCCUGAAUAGUGAAUAUGGCUCUGCUUGAUUUUGCGUGUGUGUGUAAUGAAUCAUUAUUUCGUUGCAAGCAUAUGUGCUUCGCAAAAAGAAAGUAUGCGACUCACUCUGCCGCAGAUUUGCAGUGUAUUUUAUGCUCUGGCUUCGCCCUGUUUGACAUCAUGACGUCUAUAAGCACCCUGUUUUACUAGAUGAAGUGACUCAAUUCUUCAUUUGCAGGAGACCGAGCCAGAUGUGGUUGCAGAUUCUGGUGCUGAAUAUGGUCACAUAUUUGCAAGCACAAUCCGUGGCCAAAAUGGUCUGCCUAAACAGGUAAAGGCAACUGGCAAAGACAGAGUUAUUGUUUCUGCCGGUGCUGCUGGCCUUCUGUGGACUACUUGGAAAACAAGAAAUAGAUCUUGUUUCCAAGGUGUAUUCCAUGGAGAUCCUACUUAUGUUUUUUUUUGUGCUCUCUGCUGGAUUUGUGGCCUGUCCUGUAAAAAAGAGGGGUGCAGGUGCCAAACAUGCCGCGUCAGGUGUCUAGGAAGCUUAACCAAGUAACACGCGAAAUCCUCAGUCGUGAGUGAGAUUUCCAAAUUGUUUUGAAAGUAAUGUUUUGCAUAUAUGCAGGUCAAGUGAGAGCUGAAUAUCUCCUACAUUUUCUCAAGAUAUUACAUAGCACCAGAACAAAUUUGGUGCAACUGAAUAUACCGCUGCCAUUUGAUUUGUUGUGGUUUUCUUCACGGCAGACUGAAUAUCUGCUGUGUCAUGGCAGAGCUGCUUCUCGGACAGGUUCUGUUCAUGCAUGUAGUCUUUUAUUUUAUUCUCUAGCUUCAUAAUAUUCAUUCAUCAAUGCAGCCUCUUUUUCCUGGAGAAAGUGGAGUUGAUCAGCCGGUUGAGCUUAUCAAGGUGAAAUCUUGUAUGACAUUUGAAACUGUUUUCUCCCUCGACCUGCAUCCUUUACAAUGACAUUUGUUCAGUCAUAAGUUAAAAAAGAAGACAUUUGUUCAGUCAUAAUAGUGGGUCGCAGGUCUUGGGUACUCCAACAAGGGAAGAGAUCAAGUGCAUGAAUACAAACUACACGAAGUUCAAGUUCUCCCGAACUAAGACUCGUCCGUGGCACAAGGUAAUGUGCAUGUAUUGUGUUUGUCAUGCAAAAUUGCCUGGUCUGCACAAUUGCUGUUCUAGUUGGCGCAUACUUUCGGAACAGGGAGAGCUUUACCGUUGACUAGGGUGCUGAUAAACUGCGAGAAAAUUCUCGAAACAGGCUUUCGCCCCACUUUAUAUAUAAAACAACAACACGGUACAAUACAUGGCCGAACGAUACAAUGUGGUGAGAAGGCCCUCUUACAAAGCAGAUAGAAAGAUAUAACAAGAAGCCUAUAGCUAGCCUAAUGCCUCACCUAGGACCGACCGACGACAUCAAAACUCCAUGGCAACACCCCCAGGAGGGUGACGGCGCAAUGCGUUGGCGCUGCCGAGUCUGAGUACAAACAAGGGUUUUCACCCGGAGGCUUGGCACAUGAACAAGACCCACGACUACGUCUUCAAGAAGAUAACGACACCCGCGGGCGCCGCCGGUGCCGGCGCCAAGUGCGAAGCUUUCGUUCAGGAACUCGCCAAUCUCACUAGGAGGUGCCCUGGUCACCACCACAACGAGAGUCAGGCCAACCCCACCAGAUUAGGGCACCAACAGAGGAGGCUAGAGCCUUCUGCCACCCUUGCCGCCCACACGGCCAAGAGGUGAAGGCACCACUGCCACCAUGGAGCCUGCCGGAAAGCCCACCGUGGAUCCCGCCAACCGGGGCCGCUGCCCCGGCAUCCUCAGACAACUCAACACCGACGCCAAAACACGUGUCCGCCACCCCAACCAAGCCACGAGCCUCCACCUCGACAUGGACAGAGAGGGCCCGGAGCACGCGCAGGAGAGCAACCAGCCCUAGCAGAAGGACCAAGUUCAACCGCUGCUCCGGCGGCCAAUCGUGUCACUUGCCAAUUGCCAACUACUCCCUCCGUUUCAAAUUACUCGUCACAGAAAUGAAUGUAUCUAAAACUAAAAUACAUCUAGAUACAUCCAUUUUUGCGACAAGUAAUUCGAAACGAAGGGAGUAGUACUACCGGGAAAGGAGGGCGUCUUCCCAUUAGAAANNNNNNNNNNNNNNNNNNNNNNNNNNNNNNNNNNNNNNNNNNNNNNNNNNNNNNNNNNNNNNNNNNNNNNNNNNNNNNNNNNNNNNNNNNNNNNNNNNNNNNNNNNNNNNNNNNNNNNNNNNNNNNNNNNNNNNNNNNNNNNNNNNNNNNNNNNNNNNNNNNNNNNNNNNNNNNNNNNNNNNNNNNNNNNNNNNNNNNNNNNNNNNNNNNNNNNNNNNNNNNNNNNNNNNNNNNNNNNNNNNNNNNNNNNNNNNNNNNNNNNNNNNNNNNNNNNNNNNNNNNNNNNNNNNNNNNNNNNNNNNNNNNNNNNNNNNNNNNNNNNNNNNNNNNNNNNNNNNNNNNNNNNNNNNNNNNNNNNNNNNNNNNNNNCGACCUUGAGAAAAUCAAGGCUCAUCAAUUUAGAGUUUCUCAGUUUUUUUAGUAGACGAGUUUCUCAGAUAAUCCGGCCAAAAAAAGCAUUCCUCAAAUACUUUUGACAAAAAGGAAAAUAAGUUACAACGAAUGAUGCAACGAAAAGGAAACGAAAAAGCCACACGAGAUAGAUGUUUCUCAGAUGGGCCAGACUCUGUGUAUCCAGCAGGCAGGAGCCCAACCUCACGGGCCAGCAGCCCAGCACCCACGAGUCAGCCCUUCUAAGCUCCCAUCGAGGGCGUUGCUGCGCAGCUGCACGCUUAACAUUAGUCCCACCUCGCCAGUUUGCGGGGAGCGGAACCAGCUUAUAAGCCGAGGCGCGGCAGGAGGUAGCACGACCUUACUUGAACAGGAUCUGUUCUAUAGGCUCGUACCGCUGCAUCCUUUACCAAUAAGGAGGCAAGCACUUCAGUCUGGUUGAUGCAUUCUGACCUGUGGGCCAGAGCGUGAUUAACGGCCAGGAUUUCCCUGAUGGGGCAAUCCGACAGCUGUAGAGGAUCGUUCCUGCCUGGCUCUCACACCUGUGCAGGGUGGCCCAGAGGUUGUCUGACAGACUACAAAUCUUUUUUUUUCACUUCUUUUUUUAGACUGCAGUUGUCUCUGUAAUAAUCUGCAGAACGAGCUGCACUUGACUUCCUGGAACACGACGUCUGCCGGCACGAGCUGCAGCUGCAGCUUGAGCGCGCAUCUGACCUGGAACUUGCACCUCGAACAACCCCCGUCGCGUUCUCCUUCCUGAACUCGGCCACACUGGCGUCGCCUAUCAGAAAAUGAACACGGAUGGAACUGAAGAGUAAUCAAAUAUAUACAGAGGGAACGAUAACUGAAGAUUGAGGGAUGAAACUCAUGAAAGACAAAACAUAACUGGCAAGUUUUUUCCUUUUCGGUUUGUCAUCUUCAUAAACGAUGUGUUUGAAUUGUCUGGCAAGUUCCAGUGAUAUUCCAGUCUGUUUUUGUCAUCUCUUCCCCUCUCCCUGUGUUUGUGCCUUAAGUGAGAUCGGUUCUAAUGCUCCAAGUAGUUGAACUAUGGCAAUGCUCUA
RNAcentral lists this long non-coding RNA (9176 nucleotides) under Triticum aestivum (bread wheat). Its description in RNAcentral is "long non-coding RNA (TAES_LNC006334)". The stretch from base 3981 to 4202 matches the Rfam family "Plant small nucleolar RNA U3". The record is from RNAcentral. Lineage: Eukaryota; Viridiplantae; Streptophyta; Magnoliopsida; Poales; Poaceae.